RNAcentral lists this long non-coding RNA (996 nucleotides) under Callithrix jacchus (white-tufted-ear marmoset). RNAcentral describes it as "lncRNA (ENSCJAG00000064025.2)". Lineage: Eukaryota; Metazoa; Chordata; Mammalia; Primates; Cebidae. The record is from RNAcentral.
AGUUUCCCUAAAGUUAGAUAUUAACUAACUAAGUUGUGUAUGAUUUUGUCUUCUAGAGGAUGCAAAUAGUUUUUGUUGAGUAGAAUAGAUAACCAUAGAGGCUAUAGUUAUAUUGCUUUGAUUUCUGCUUUGCUUCAUAUCUAACUUAGGAACUAGGUGGUUUCAUCAUCUUAUCUCUUACUAAGUAUGUAUUCAUCUUGUGUCCUCUUUUGAAUCAGCUUUACCAUCCUGCUGGUUCCCUCAUUAACUAGGUAUAUAAUCUCUGACUUAUACACAUUAUAGACUGAGUACAAGAGCCAUAUUUGCAUGAUCACAGUUACAUACUGUCUCCUUUACUUCAACUUCCCCAUCAAGCUCUUGGCUACCAGGUGCCUCAACCUACCCUGAAAUAUCCUCAAGAAAGAUAAUUUCCAAAUGUACAACCACAUCUUUUAAGGAACAAUCUACAUAGGACCUCAAGGACUUUGAAUCUAAUGUUCUACAUCUGUAGGAUGGAGAUGAUGCUUCCAAAGACUCUGAAUAUAAAGGAAAGUUCCCAGCACAUGCCAGCAUGCAGUGAUGCUCGACUUCUCUUUUCCAGGCUAAGUAAUCCCAGGUCCUUGUUGUCUGAUGAAUUCACAUCUACCCUCGAUAAACUUCUGAGAUUAGAGGCAGAGGCAGCAGCUGCAAACCUGUGCUCCGGAGCUACACAGUGCAGCUUUAGCACCUCCUGACUCACCACCCCCCACGUGGCCACUGCUGAAUUAUGUGCAUUUUAAUGAGGAGAUUGAUGUCACUUUCCUUUCUUCCUCCCUCUCCAACACAAUUUUAUUGAGUGCCUGUUAUGUUCCAGACACUUCUAAAAGCUAGGUGUAAAAUGAGAUUUUUAAAAACUGUGUUUUCAUUUUUCUACGAGUAUGUAUUUCUUUCACAAUCAGACAAUAAAAAUACAUAUUGUUUUAAAAGCUGAUCUUAAGACAUUACUCCUGCCUUCAAGAUGCCCACAACCUAUGAAAG